Molecule: ribosomal RNA, 1479 nt
Filed under: metagenome
Description: bacterial LSU rRNA
Rfam family: Bacterial large subunit ribosomal RNA
Source: RNAcentral
GGCUAAAACACACUGCCGAAGCUUUGGAAUUGAAUUAAUUCAAUUGGUAGAGGAGCAUUCUUAAAGGGAUGAAGCAGUACCGUAAGGAGCUGUGGACUUUUAAGAAGAGAGAAUGCCGGAAUGAGUAGCGAGAGGAAGGUGGGAAUCCUUCCGGCCGAAUAUCUAAGGUUUCCAGAGUAAAGCUGAUCUGCUCUGGGUAAGUCGGGGCCUAAGGCGAGGUCGAAAGACGUAGUCGAUGGAUAACAGGUUGAAAUUCCUGUACUAUCCUGUAACAGAACUGUGGGGACACAGGCAGAGAGCGUGAGCCGGGAAUGGAAAGACCGGUACAAGCGAGGUAAGAGUUCAGUUGGCAAAUCCGCUGAACAAUCUGAAGACGUGAUGUGGACUGAAAAUAAGUAGGGAAGCACGUGAGCUGACUGUCAAGAAAAGCCGCUAUUGUUUGCAGGAUACCCGUACCGUAAACCGACACAGGUGGAUGAGGAGAGAAUCCUAAGGCCGACGGGAGAAGCAUUGUUAAGGAACUCGGCAAAAUGACUCCGUAACUUCGGGAGAAGGAGUGCCAGUAAGAUGGCCGCAGAGAAUUGGCCCAAGCAACUGUUUAGCAAAAACACAGGUCUAUGCAAAACCGAAAGGUGAGGUAUAUGGGCUGACGCCUGCCCGGUGCUGGAAGGUUAAGGGGAGAGGUUAGCGCAAGCGAAGCUUUGAACUUAAGCCCCAGUAAACGGCGGCCGUAACAAUAACGGUCCUAAGGUAGCGAAAUUCCUUGUCGGGUAAGUUCCGACCCGCACGAAAGGCGUAAUGAUUUGGGCACUGUCUCAACAAUGCACCCGGUGAAAUUGAAAUACCAGUGAAGAUGCUGGUUACCUGCGCCAGGACGGAAAGACCCCAUGGAGCUUUACUCCAGCUUGAUACUGGGAUUCGGUAUUGCAUGUACAGGAUAGGUGGGAGGCUAGGAAAUGGUAACGCCAGUUGCCAUGGAGCCAAUGUUGGGAUACCACCCUUGCAGUACUGGGUUUCUAACCAGCAGCCGUGAUCCGGCUGGGGGACAAUGUCAGGUGGGGAGUUUGACUGGGGCGGUCGCCUCCGAAAGGGUAUCGGAGGCGCUCAAAGGUUCCCUCAGAAUGGUUGGAAACCAUUCGAAGAGUGCAAAGGCAGAAGGGAGCUUGACUGCGACACCGACGGGUGGAGCAGGUACGAAAGUAGGACUUAGUGAUCCGGUGGUAUAAAGUGGGAUUGCCAUCGCUCAACGGAUAAAAGCUACCCUGGGAUAACAGGCUUAUCACUCCCAAGAGUUCACAUCGACGGAGUGGUUUGGCACCUCGAUGUCGGCUCAUCGCAUCCUGGGGCUGAAGUAGGUCCCAAGGGUUGGGCUGUUCGCCCAUUAAAGCGGUACGCGAGCUGGGUUCAGAACGUCGUGAGACAGUUCGGUCCCUAUCCGGCGUGGGCGUAAGAUAUUUGAGAGGAGCUGUCCUUAGUACU